AAUAUGUAGCAAAAUAAUCAGUCUCCUCCAGUUUCCAUAGCCCAUUCAGUGUUAAUAUGAAGGAACAGUCCUAUUAGCUUGUUAGAUCAGCAGUGUCUUAUCUCCUACACUUGCCCUAUCCCGCUUUACAUAAGAAGGAAUCAGUGCUGGAUCCUUUGCGGUGGCUGAAUGUCAUCACUGGCAAGAAUAAGGGGGAUUGACAGCAGGCAAACAUUCAGGCAGGCUGGUACGUUGCAUGUAGAUCACGGACUUUUCCUCCCCUCUGCACUGUUCUGGAAAGAGCGUUAAGAAUAGCAACUUGGAGAAGCUGUUCAUAUUCUUCUAGUCAGAGUUACCGGAAGCCGCUAAAGGUAAAUCUGUCAGCAAGUUCUGAGCAGCUGGGUAAGGAAAGCCAACACAAUUGCUUCGAAAGGGCUUUGCAUCCACACCUAAAAGGAAGGAGCAGAGUAUUGGCUCAGAUACACAGUUUCCUGCUGCUGCACGAUUUUACCUAAGUUUAACUCCUCAUGUUGAGCAAAUGGAGGCAUGUGUUAAGUGACUUGACCCAAAUCACACAGCUACCAACCACCCGAGGCUGGAUUGGAAUUCAGGACUUCCUAACUCCAGGAGAGUAUGACGCCACAUCCCACUACCUUUCAGAGUAUGCUCUGACAGCAGGAUUCUGUUCUACUUUCUCAGCCCUCCAAGUAAAGGACAGAAAACCACAAUAUAGUAAGAGAGAGAAUUUAUAUUUUAUUUAAAGCAGUGCCUAUAACUUUAAUUUUCAAGCAUAUGAUUUUCUUA
Molecule: long non-coding RNA, 783 nt
Organism: Antechinus flavipes (yellow-footed antechinus)
Lineage: Eukaryota; Metazoa; Chordata; Mammalia; Dasyuromorphia; Dasyuridae
Exons: 3
Source: RefSeq, a predicted model, not a curated record